GACGAACGCUGGCGGCGUGCUUAACACAUGCAAGUCGAACGGUGAUGCUCCAGCUUGCUGGAGUGGAUCAGUGGCGAACGGGUGAGUAACACGUGAGCAACCUGCCUCAGACUCUGGAAUAAGCGCUGGAAACGGCGUCUAAUACUGGAUACGAAACUGGCCCGCAUGGGCAUGGUUUGGAAAGUUGUUCGGUUUGGGAUGGGCUCGCGGCCUAACAGCUUGUUGGUGAGGUAAUGGCUCACCAAGGCGACGACGGGUAGCCUGCCUGAGAGGGCGACCGGCGACACUGGGACUGAGACACGGCCCAGACUGCAACGGGAGGCAGCAGUGGGGAAUAUUGCACAAUGGGCCAAAGCCUGAGGCAGCGACGCCGCGUGAGGGAUGACGGCCUUCGGGUUGUAAACCUCUUGCAGCAGGGAAGAAGCGAAAGUGACGGUACCUGCAGAAGAAGCACCGGCUAACUACGUG
RNAcentral lists this ribosomal RNA (468 nucleotides) under uncultured bacterium. RNAcentral's name for it is "partial 16S ribosomal RNA". It matches the Rfam family "Bacterial small subunit ribosomal RNA", at positions 28 to 507 of the family's 1533-position model. The record is from RNAcentral.